Molecule: transfer RNA, 84 nt
Filed under: Desulfovibrio sp.
Lineage: Bacteria; Pseudomonadati; Thermodesulfobacteriota; Desulfovibrionia; Desulfovibrionales; Desulfovibrionaceae
Description: tRNA-Leu
Rfam family: tRNA
About the family: Transfer RNA (tRNA) molecules are approximately 80 nucleotides in length.
Source: RNAcentral
GCGAGAGUGGCGGAAUGGCAGACGCACCGGACUUAGAAUCCGGCGGUUUCAUCCGUGGGGGUUCAAGUCCCCCCUCUCGCACCA